Molecule: ribosomal RNA, 472 nt
Filed under: uncultured bacterium
Lineage: Bacteria
Description: bacterial SSU rRNA
Rfam family: Bacterial small subunit ribosomal RNA
Source: RNAcentral
UCGGGAAUUUUGGGCAAUGGGGGAAACCCUGAUCCAGCGACGCCGCGUGCGUGAAGAAGGCCUGCGGGUUGUAAAGCACUUUCGGUGGGAACGAAAUAUGCCGGGCUAAUACCCCGGUAGGCUGACGUUACUCAAUGAAGAAGCACCGGCUAACUCUGUGCCAGCAGCCGCGGUAAUACAGAGGGUGCGAGCGUUAAUCGGAAUUACUGGGCGUAAAGCGCACGUAGGUGGCGACGUAAGUCGGGUGUGAAAUCCCGGAGCUCAACUUCGGAACUGCCUUUGAUACUGGCAAUCUCGAGUCCGGAAGAGGUUAGUGGAAUUCCCAGUGUAGAGGUGAAAUUCGUAGAUAUUGGGAAGAACACCAGUGGCGAAGGCGGCUAACUGGUCCGGUACUGACGCUGAGGUGCGAAAGCGUGGGGAGCAAACAGGAUUAGAUACCCACGUAGUCCCUGAGCGGGCUGGCAAGGCGCAU